Molecule: long non-coding RNA, 947 nt
Organism: Trifolium pratense (red clover)
Lineage: Eukaryota; Viridiplantae; Streptophyta; Magnoliopsida; Fabales; Fabaceae
Exons: 2
Source: RefSeq, a predicted model, not a curated record
UCUAUGGUGCAUUCCAGCUUUGGAAUGUAUGGGUGCAUUCCAAACUUUUAACCAAUAGAAUUCAAUUUAAUUGCCACAUCAACUAAGGUCCAUGGUGAGUCUCUUUUUCCUUAAUAAACUUUUGUUUAUUGCAUAUGAGUCCUCCAUCAAAUGAAAAAUACAAAUCAAAAACAUUUUUAAUUUCAAUUUAAAAUCAUAAAUCAUUUACACUUUUUUAUUUAUGAUUUUUAACAUUAUUAUUUGAACAAAUUAAAAUUGAAAGUGAAAACCCUAAAUCCCAAAUUCCCACCUGUUCUCCAUUUUGUUCAUCCUUCUUCGUCCUUCUCCUUCUUCGAUUGUUCAUCCUUCUUCGUCCUUCUCCUUCUUCGAUUGUUCAUUCCUUUCUUUUUCUUCGUCAUCCAUCGUUUUAUUCUGGCCUCUCUCAGACUUCGUCUUAUUCGUUUUAUUUCAUUGAUAUCCAACUAAAGCAUUAUCGACUUCUCACCCAAUGUCGUAUCUGGGUUCCUGGUCGUUUGUAAUUCGCCAAAAACUAAAGCGUAAUUCGUAUCUGUCUUCACCCAACAACUAUUUUCAGUGCAAGAUUGUUCUAUGGUUCCAAGCAUCGUAGUGUACUUCACAGAUAAAUAAUGGAUGGCAAUAUUCCACUCUGAUCCCAAUUAAGGAAUCCUGUGUUUACGAGGUUUGAACUGGAAAACAGACAAUGUAGAAGGGCUUGAAGGGUAAACAAAUCAAGUUUUGUAAUGUUAAGUUUAUAGUUAGUGAUAUGUAUUUGAGUUGAAUAAGCACUAGUUAAUGAUAUGAAGUCAUUGCUAUAUUUUAGCUAAUGCUCAGUGUUAUAGUUGAAUAAUAUAUACCAAAUUAAGCUGUAGUACAGUAACAAUUUUCAAAUUGAAUAUUGUAAUCUUUUUUACUUGAGUAAAACAUGGUACAUUAUCUUUUGGAGGCUA